RNAcentral lists this transfer-messenger RNA (365 nucleotides) under uncultured Treponema sp. It matches the Rfam family "transfer-messenger RNA". From Rfam's summary of the family: Bacterial tmRNA, also known as 10Sa RNA or SsrA, is named for its dual tRNA and mRNA-like properties. Its role is to liberate the mRNA from a stalled ribosome. The record is from RNAcentral. Lineage: Bacteria; Pseudomonadati; Spirochaetota; Spirochaetia; Treponematales; Treponemataceae.
GGGGGUGCUCUGGUUUCGACAAGUUGGAGAAAUCUUGUGUUGCAGGUAGGCGUGAAGGUGCCUCAAACUGACAAAACAAUAACUGCAAAACGUAGAGAAGACGAAAAGUCUGAAAACGAACAGUUAGCACUCGCUGCUUAAGCAGUGCCGGAACUUAUGGGACGCUGUUCCUAGGCCUAUAACCUUCCGUCGACAACAGGAACUUGCUUGUGGCUAGGCUUGGAUGGUUACAGGGACUCUUUCCAAGAUACGGAAAAGACGCCUUUGAAGCCGCUACCUUUUCCCGACAAAUACCUCGCUUCAAUAAGCCUGUAGAGAUGCCUGGUUUGCCAGCAUGGACGGGGGUUCAACUCCCCCCACCUCCA